UAGAAGAUGAUGAAUCAAAUAUUGCGGAUUGUUAUUGUAUUCUCUCACCUUUUA
Molecule: small RNA, 54 nt
Filed under: Salix viminalis (osier)
Lineage: Eukaryota; Viridiplantae; Streptophyta; Magnoliopsida; Malpighiales; Salicaceae
Source: RNAcentral